This 253-nucleotide ribosomal RNA is filed under the name uncultured bacterium. RNAcentral's name for it is "partial 16S ribosomal RNA". It matches the Rfam family "Bacterial small subunit ribosomal RNA", at positions 524 to 776 of the family's 1533-position model. The record is from RNAcentral.
UACAGAGGGGGCAAGCGUUGCUCGGAAUUACUGGGCGUAAAGAGCGUGUAGGCGGCCAGGUAGGUCUGCUGUGAAAACUCGAGGCUCAACCUCGAGACGUCGGCGGAAACCAUCUGGCUAGAGUCCGGAAGAGGAGAGUGGAAUUCCUGGUGUAGCGGUGAAAUGCGCAGAUAUCAGGAAGAACACCCGUGGCGAAGGCGGCUCUCUGGGACGGUACUGACGCUGAGACGCGAAAGCGUGGGGAGCGAACAGG